Molecule: ribosomal RNA, 1575 nt
Filed under: Escherichia coli
Lineage: Bacteria; Pseudomonadati; Pseudomonadota; Gammaproteobacteria; Enterobacterales; Enterobacteriaceae
Description: partial 23S ribosomal RNA
Rfam family: Bacterial large subunit ribosomal RNA
Source: RNAcentral
GUUCUGUAAGCCUGUGAAGGUGUACUGUGAGGUAUGCUGGAGGUAUCAGAAGUGCGAAUGCUGACAUAAGUAACGAUAAAGCGGGUGAAAAGCCCGCUCGCCGGAAGACCAAGGGUUCCUGUCCAACGUUAAUCGGGGCAGGGUGAGUCGACCCCUAAGGCGAGGCCGAAAGGCGUAGUCGAUGGGAAACAGGUUAAUAUUCCUGUACUUGGUGUUACUGCGAAGGGGGGACGGAGAAGGCUAUGUUGGCCGGGCGACGGUUGUCCCGGUUUAAGCGUGUAGGCUGGUUUUCCAGGCAAAUCCGGAAAAUCAAGGCUGAGGCGUGAUGACGAGGCACUACGGUGCUGAAGCAACAAAUGCCCUGCUUCCAGGAAAAGCCUCUAAGCAUCAGGUAACAUCAAAUCGUACCCCAAACCGACACAGGUGGUCAGGUAGAGAAUACCAAGGCGCUUGAGAGAACUCGGGUGAAGGAACUAGGCAAAAUGGUGCCGUAACUUCGGGAGAAGGCACGCUGAUAUGUAGGUGAAGCGACUUGCUCGUGGAGCUGAAAUCAGUCGAAGAUACCAGCUGGCUGCAACUGUUUAUUAAAAACACAGCACUGUGCAAACACGAAAGUGGACGUAUACGGUGUGACGCCUGCCCGGUGCCGGAAGGUUAAUUGAUGGGGUCAGCGCAAGCGAAGCUCUUGAUCGAAGCCCCGGUAAACGGCGGCCGUAACUAUAACGGUCCUAAGGUAGCGAAAUUCCUUGUCGGGUAAGUUCCGACCUGCACGAAUGGCGUAAUGAUGGCCAGGCUGUCUCCACCCGAGACUCAGUGAAAUUGAACUCGCUGUGAAGAUGCAGUGUACCCGCGGCAAGACGGAAAGACCCCGUGAACCUUUACUAUAGCUUGACACUGAACAUUGAGCCUUGAUGUGUAGGAUAGGUGGGAGGCUUUGAAGUGUGGACGCCAGUCUGCAUGGAGCCGACCUUGAAAUACCACCCUUUAAUGUUUGAUGUUCUAACGUGGACCCGUGAUCCGGGUUGCGGACAGUGUCUGGUGGGUAGUUUGACUGGGGCGGUCUCCUCCUAAAGAGUAACGGAGGAGCACGAAGGUUGGCUAAUCCUGGUCGGACAUCAGGAGGUUAGUGCAAUGGCAUAAGCCAGCUUGACUGCGAGCGUGACGGCGCGAGCAGGUGCGAAAGCAGGUCAUAGUGAUCCGGUGGUUCUGAAUGGAAGGGCCAUCGCUCAACGGAUAAAAGGUACUCCGGGGAUAACAGGCUGAUACCGCCCAAGAGUUCAUAUCGACGGCGGUGUUUGGCACCUCGAUGUCGGCUCAUCACAUCCUGGGGCUGAAGUAGGUCCCAAGGGUAUGGCUGUUCGCCAUUUAAAGUGGUACGCGAGCUGGGUUUAGAACGUCGUGAGACAGUUCGGUCCCUAUCUGCCGUGGGCGCUGGAGAACUGAGGGGGGCUGCUCCUAGUACGAGAGGACCGGAGUGGACGCAUCACUGGUGUUCGGGUUGUCAUGCCAAUGGCACUGCCCGGUAGCUAAAUGCGGAAGAGAUAAGUGCUGAAAGCAUCUAAGCACGAAACUUGC